RNAcentral lists this ribosomal RNA (497 nucleotides) under uncultured bacterium. Its description in RNAcentral is "partial 16S ribosomal RNA". It matches the Rfam family "Bacterial small subunit ribosomal RNA", at positions 28 to 507 of the family's 1533-position model. The record is from RNAcentral.
GAUGAACGCUGGCGGCGUGCCUAAUACAUGCAAGUCGAGCGAACGGACGAGAAGCUUGCUUUUCUGAUGUUAGCGGCGGACGGGUGAGUAACACGUGGAUAACCUACCUAUAAGACUGGGAUAACUUCGGGAAACCGGAGCUAAUACCGGAUAAUAUUUUGAACCGCAUGGUUCAAAAGUGAAAGACGGUCUUGCUGUCACUUAUAGAUGGAUCCGCGCUGCAUUAGCUAGUUGGUAAGGUAACGGCUUACCAAGGCAACGAUGCAUAGCCGACCUGAGAGGGUGAUCGGCCACACUGGAACUGAGACACGGUCCAGACUCCUAUGGGAGGCAGCAGUAGGGAAUCUUCCGCAAUGGGCGAAAGCCUGACGGAGCAACGCCGCGUGAGUGACGAAGGUCUUCGGAUCGUAAAACUCUGUUAUUAGGGAAGAACAUAUGUGUAAGUAACUGUGCACAUCUUGACGGUACCUAAUCAGAAAGCCACGGCUAACUACGUG